CACCUCUCCUGGAGGUGAUGUGCUGUUUUGUCCUGUGCCCAGACCAGCACAGCUUGGAGCCUGCAGGAUGGUUGGGGGCAAGGAAAAGGGGAAAUCAUCUCCAAGUGACCUAUGUUACUGUCUGAUAUCUGUCCUUCAGUUAUCCCAGAAAACUGAGAGCUGACUCUUCAGUUUACAGCUGAUAAUGAAAUAUCUUCAUUAUAGAAAUGUACUGCAGUGAUUAGGAGCUCCAGCCAAGGAUUAGGCUCUGGCUGUGUUAGAUACUGUACAGUCAUAGCUCAAAAAGAUGAUACCUGCCUUAACGACUUCAUAAUCCAGCAGGAAGACAAUGUCUAUGCCUAAUUACACGGGAGGGCAGUGAGCAGGGGCUGGAGAAGGUGAUAACCAAGCCAAGGAGUGGGGCUCAUGCA
Molecule: long non-coding RNA, 410 nt
Organism: Lagopus leucura (white-tailed ptarmigan)
Lineage: Eukaryota; Metazoa; Chordata; Aves; Galliformes; Phasianidae
Exons: 3
Source: RefSeq, a predicted model, not a curated record